RNAcentral lists this ribosomal RNA (183 nucleotides) under uncultured bacterium. RNAcentral's name for it is "partial 16S ribosomal RNA". It matches the Rfam family "Bacterial small subunit ribosomal RNA", at positions 1318 to 1500 of the family's 1533-position model. The record is from RNAcentral.
ACAUGAAGCUGGAAUCGCUAGUAAUCGCGAAUCAGAAUGUCGCGGUGAAUACGUUCCCGGGUCUUGUACACACCGCCCGUCACACCAUGGGAGUCGGAAAUGCCCGAAGUCAGUGACCCAACCGCAAGGAGGGAGCUGCCGAAGGUGGAGCCGGUAACUGGGGUGAAGUCGUAACAAGGUACC